Molecule: long non-coding RNA, 3329 nt
Organism: Diorhabda sublineata
Lineage: Eukaryota; Metazoa; Arthropoda; Insecta; Coleoptera; Chrysomelidae
Exons: 2
Source: RefSeq, a predicted model, not a curated record
CAUGAGGUGGUCGAUAGUGACAUUGCUAUCAAUGUACUAACUGAUUAACGUGAUGUCAGAGGUCGCUAAAGAUAAUAUAGUGUAAGCGUUAUUAAAUGUGUAAGUUGAAAAUAUACCAGUGAUUUGAAGAUGUGGUUUUAUUAAGUUUCUACUGAUUGGAGGCCCUUGCCCUUUUACAACAGAUGGCGAUCCUUCAAUCAUCACAUGGAGAUUCUGCAAAGUUUUAACGGUUAAUGUAACUACAACAGCUGCAUCGUUCCACGAUGGAAAUUAGUUCGAUCAACGUGUGUGAUUUAUGGUAAAGGACGAUUUUUGUACAACACAGACAACAGUGUUAUUAUACAUCAUAACAGUUGUCGUGAUAAUUAAACUAUUACCAGAAGUAUAAGAGUACAGAACACCUUAAGUAUUUUAAAAACUGUACGCUUGCAAUGACUAAGCAUUUCAGAACUAGGUGAACUGAAGCUCAACCCUCCCCGCACAGAAUCUACACUUAUCAGUAUCUGUUAGACCUAAUCUCAUCAGGUGUUUCCUGAAGCCUGCAAGGAGCAUAGAUUUAGACAUUUUUGGGGAUUAAGUAAGUAUGGUAGCAACAUCUUCAUAUACCACAGAAAGACUACCAACCGGUGUUUGUAUUCCUCUUUGCUUAGAUCGAAAUACUUGAAAGAACUGAAACUAAGAAGUAGAUACAGUAUAACUUACAGGCACGUUAUUUUCAUUCAUUUUCAAUUUGUGAUAGAUUCAUUAUUUAUACUAAUGUUAAGCGUGCAAUUUUGAGCAGUGGUUAUUUGAAUACCACUAGAAGUGAGAGCUGGAGCCAACGCAGUUUUAGUGUUAUUUUUAAUAACAUUAUUAUUCAGCUGGUAUCCCCCGGAUGUACUCGUACUUAAUUGAUUGCAAUCAAUUAGUUCAAAAUUUUUCGCUUUUUUGCAAGAGAUUGCUACAGAUAUCCUUCAGCGGUGUUCGUAGAGUUCCAACUUACGUGUUGUUUUAAAGCAAGAAUGUCUCCUCCAAAAUUUACAAGUUAACUUGCCGAGGUUCUUCUGAAACUAUGACCAGAUAAUUUAUGGCAUUAGGAAGUUUUAGAAAUUUUGCAAUUUUUUUAGGAAUUGUAGCAAUAGUAUUUUUUCCAACCAUUUAGUUGAUACAUUUUCCUGCUCUAUAGCAGACAAAUAAAUGUGUCUGAUCUGUUUUAGAGCGUAGCGAUAUAUAUUUUCGAUAAAUGUCAAUAUAAUUAGAGCCAUCCAUGAUGUUACUUUUACCUUUUCUCCCUAAAGAGGAAAAGUACGAGGCCAGAAAUAUUCUGGGAAGUGUAUUUCUUUCUUUGGAUUAGAGUCUCUGUUAGUUUUUCCAUUUCAUAAGUUUGUUCCAACACACUUGCUGAAUCGAUGACUUCGGAGCAAUUUGCUUGACUAUCGGAAUAAAUCCCUGUGUUAUUUCUGAUCUAGCGUUAUUUUAGUGUAUAUUUUAAUUGAAAACAUUUUUGCCCAAGCCAGCUUUUGUGGUGAAUUUUCUACCAUUUGCGUACCAUUUAUUGAUAUAUCUCCUUAAAGUUUGGAUGGACUAUUUUUUCCCAGUCUUACUUCUUACUUGGUAUCAUCGUAAAGUAUUUUUUGAUAUUUAUUUUCUCAAUCAUAUCUUUAAUAGUAAAAAGCAUUUUAACAUUAAAUGUACACAGAGGGAUAAUAACUGAUAUCAUAUAUUUUUUAAAUUCUUUUAAAAAUCACUAUUAUUGGAGUAACAAAUAUAAAUUAACAUCCUAAUAGUAGUAACACAUCCCUAUCCAUUUAUAGGGUGUUUUCAAUAAAUAUUCGUUUCUGAGCAAAACUAUUUAUGGAAAUUGAUCAUCCAAAUAACUGUUUUAAUGGGAUUUUUUUAAUUUGAAACGCCGAAACACUAACACCUAACCUAAUCAAAUUGUACCAACAAUUCAACCUCAACUCUAACAUCUAGAAAUUCAGUUGAGGACUGCAACCAUCCCGGAAUUCCAUAGAUAAACUCCCAGUUUUAUCUUUAAUAUAUAAAUAAAUCUGAGUCGUUUUUAAUUUAUAUCUGCUUUUAUUCAUUGUGCUCUUUUUGAUACGCAAUUAAUGCGAAUUUACUAUUUUUUCAUUAAAUUUAUUUGUUGCUAACACUUUUUUUAUUGUUCAUAGCAAUAAAUAUUAAUUUGGAUGACCGUGUCCGAGGAUAGUUUUAUAUUGUUUAAUUUUUAUUUUUGUUUACGGGGCUGACCGUUCAUUUAAGUGUGACUUAAAUUUAGCCUUGCUAUAUUUGAAAUUCACUAAAAUAGAAAAAAUAAUGACUAAAAAUUGACUCCAUGUCAGAGUUUCUGUGUCAGAUAAAUCAAUCAGUACGACAAACAAUCAUUUGGAAAACAGAGCACAACAUAAUAAAAACUUUUUACUUCUUACGGCUGGUUUCAUAAUCUCAUCCUAAUUGGCAUUUAACUAAAGGUUCCUUUAAAUUAAAGUUCUUUAACUUAGUUUUUGAAGUGAAGUGGUCCCAUAACCGAUUUGUAACGGUCUGUUAAUUAAAGGCUCUUUUAAGGCGUUAAAAGAAGGUCGUAGUUCAAAAGGUACUAAGACAUAUUUUAUACUUUUUCAAUAUAUGUUGUUAGAAAAAAGAAACAAAAUGAAACGUAGAAGUGUGUGUUAAAGAAAGUUUGUUUUGCCACUAACAUUUAUUUUGGCUCGAACUUUGAUGGCGUGCUGUUGUGCCUAUUUAAAUUCUUCAAUUCAAUUAUUCGAUUCAACAAUUAUUUUUAUUAUUUAUAAUCGUAGGUAUUGAAAGUUUCACAUGAUUGAUGCACAAUUAUUAUUUUUGAUUGUAAUAAUUUUUUUAUUCAAGUUUAUUCUUGACAAUGAUUGCAAAAAGAGUUCGUAUUACCAAUUUUGGGAAAGAAGAAUACCUAAUAUUAAUUGAGGGCGUGAAGAAAUAUAAGGAUAUUAUUGAAAAUAAAGUAACAUUUUUUUGGAAAGAAAAGGUUAGACUUGAAAUGGAUCUUGAUACUAGUGUUACAUCGAGUUAAUUCACAUUCAUUCACUUUUAGAAAGAGGCAUGGAAAAAAGUGGAUUCAACGCGAAGGUCUCCAAGCUAAGUACGAAAACUUGUAGAGAGAUGCAAAGACUAAGUUAAAUGAGGUUUUGUAUGUGAUACUUUGUGUUUAGCAAAGUACAUCUAUUAUACUACAACUAAAAUCUGUUUUAACAUAAAAAAAAAAUAAUUUUUCCUUAGAUUUUUCAUUUCAAAAAUUUGUAGCAGCUAUCAGUCAAAUUAUUCGUAGUUGUAUUGAAAUUUAUGAAAUAGAAACAUAAAUUUUACUUGAUUUA